Molecule: long non-coding RNA, 1086 nt
Organism: Prunus avium (sweet cherry)
Lineage: Eukaryota; Viridiplantae; Streptophyta; Magnoliopsida; Rosales; Rosaceae
Source: RefSeq, a predicted model, not a curated record
UUUUUCUGUUCUCUAAUUGUUGUUUCUCUGGGUCAAGGGUUCUAGGAUUGUUGCUGAUUUCUCAUAAUCUUAUAGAGCUUUUGCUCUAAUUCUUGUUUCAUAUUGCUGCAAUGGCUAUAACUGGAACUGGGUGGUUUUUUUGUUGUGAUUCUCGGUCAUUGAUUAAUUCUGGGCUAUAACUGGAAUUGGGUGUGAUAAUCAUGGUCAACUGAAUAUGAAACCAUUCUCCAUAAGUGAUAAUUGUCAAGAAAAAGAAGGGUGGUGAAGUUCAAGUUUAGCAGUUGCAAAUCCAAUAAUGGCUUCAACAAAAAAUAAUGUGACUUGCACCAUUAUAUACGAAGAUGACUGAGCAAGAAGAAAUUAUUAUAUGGUUGAUGCAGUAUGAAUGCAAAAAACUUCGCGGUUGGUGAUGAGGAAUGGCAAAUUUUUUGAUUCUGCGGAAAAAUAUGCCUGCGAGUACUUUUCAAUCUGGGCAAUAUUGUCAGGUUCAAUCUUCAUGUCAUGCUUAUCUUUACACAAAGAAGAUGUUUUAGCUGCUGCGGUCUACUUAUUCUACAAUAACUAUCCUAGACACAUCUCUCUUUUUGGGAAUGAAUGAGGAUGAAGCCACAACUUGAAAUUAACCAUGAAAUGUCUUUGAAGCUAUGAGCGUCUUUGGAGGUUCAAAUCUACUCGUUGUGAAGCAUUUAGAGCUUAUUCCGAUAUUUUAAAGCUAGCAGGACAGUUAGCAUACUGAAGUUCACAACAUAAAAGGAUACCAAGAAUUACAAACCAGUUGGAACCUGGAAGUCACUAAGCAAGCCUAGAGCCUAGAUCUAUGGUUGUAAAAGGAUCAAAGGCAGUUGCAGACUUGGCUCUAGUCUAAUACUAAUAGUCUUACCUAAUCAUAUUGUCUUGAUGAGCCUAAGUCGUCGUAGUGGCAGGUAAAAAGCCGUGUUUUGGUGGGUUUGGGUGCUCUGUACUUAUUGCUGGUGAUAUUAAAACACCAUGAAUAAAAAAUGCACUACCUAUGAAUAUGAAAAUUUUGAUGUAAAAAUGUUGUAGAAGACAUUUACGAACCUUGAUUAACUAUGCUUUUCCAUUGCU